AGCAGCCUGGGCGUCUGGUGCAGCAGCCUGGGCGUCUGGUGCAGCCAGCUUCCAACACAGAUGAGCAGUUUGGGCUGAUGCAGGAUUUGGUGCAACACGCUCCUGCUGCUAGGACCGAGCCAGAUGUAAUGACCGAGCAGCAGCCUAUGCAGCAGGGGUCUUUGGUGGUGCAGCAGCCUAUGCAGCAGGGAUCUUUGGUUGUGCAGCAGGGGCAGCAGAGUUUGGGCUCGCCUGUGCCAAGUCUGGGCACGCUAGUGUAGGGCGUUGGGGCUGUGGCUGAGGCUGUGGCCGAGCUGGUGCAGGAAAGUCCAGUGUUGCAGCAGGCGCUUGGGCAGAUGGUGUAGCAGAGUCU
RNAcentral lists this long non-coding RNA (352 nucleotides) under Lupinus mutabilis. RNAcentral's name for it is "partial ncRNA". The record is from RNAcentral. Lineage: Eukaryota; Viridiplantae; Streptophyta; Magnoliopsida; Fabales; Fabaceae.